RNAcentral lists this ribosomal RNA (482 nucleotides) under uncultured bacterium. RNAcentral's name for it is "partial 16S ribosomal RNA". It matches the Rfam family "Bacterial small subunit ribosomal RNA", at positions 30 to 507 of the family's 1533-position model. The record is from RNAcentral.
AUUGAACGCUGGCGGCAUGCUUUACACAUGCAAGUCGAACGGUAACAGGCCGCAAGGUGCUGACGAGUGGCGAACGGGUGAGUAAUGCAUCGGAACGUGCCCAGUCGUGGGGGAUAACUACUCGAAAGAGUAGCUAAUACCGCAUACGAUCUAUGGAUGAAAGCGGGGGACCGUAAGGCCUCGCGCGAUUGGAGCGGCCGAUGUCAGAUUAGGUAGUUGGUGGGGUAAAGGCUCACCAAGCCAACGAUCUGUAGCUGGUCUGAGAGGACGACCAGCCACACUGGGACUGAGACACGGCCCAGACUCCUACGGGAGGCAGCAGAGGGGAAUUUUGGACAAUGGGCGCAAGCCUGAUCCAGCAAUGCCGCGUGCAGGAAGAAGGCCUUCGGGUUGUAAACUGCUUUUGUACGGAACGAAACGGCUCUGGUUAAUACCCGGGGCUAAUGACGGUACCGGAAGAAUAAGCACCGGCUAACUACGUG